UACGUAGGGUGCGAGCGUUAAUCGGAAUUACUGGGCGUAAAGUGUGCGCAGGCGGCCGAGCAAGUCGAGUGUGAAAGCCCCGAGCUUAACUUGGGAACUGCGCUCGAAACUACUUGGCUAGAGUGUGGCAGAGGGAGGUGGAAUUCCACGUGUAGCGGUGAAAUGCGUAGAGAUGUGGAGGAACACCGAUGGCGAAGGCAGCCCCCUGGGUUAACACUGACGCUCAUGCACGAAAGCGUGGGGAGCAAACAGG
Molecule: ribosomal RNA, 253 nt
Filed under: uncultured bacterium
Lineage: Bacteria
Description: partial 16S ribosomal RNA
Rfam family: Bacterial small subunit ribosomal RNA
Source: RNAcentral